Drosophila montana is the source of this 306-nucleotide long non-coding RNA. RefSeq lists it as uncharacterized. NCBI's taxonomy places the organism in Eukaryota, Metazoa, Arthropoda, Insecta, Diptera, Drosophilidae. The record is from RefSeq and is a predicted model, not a curated record. The transcript is spliced from 2 exons.
CAAACAAUAUGAGGACCUUGGGCCUCGUAGCACUGCUGCUCUUGCUGGCGUCCUGCGGCGCGCCUAGUGUUAAGAAUCAGAUAUGCAAACGCAAUGCUGGUAAAGUAAAGUGUCCAAAUGGCUUGUGGGCUUUUAACGAAAUAAAGAAGAAAUGCUUUCAUGUUGAAGUCACAAGCUACAAAUACUGCGGUAUGUUUUAUAAUAAAAAAGGAUGUGUUGAUUUUUGCAUAAAAGGUGCUUUCGGCAGUCGCAAGGUUAAUAAAUAACUUGAAAAUAAAAAUAAAAUGGACAAUUUCAGUAUAACAA